Molecule: ribosomal RNA, 492 nt
Filed under: uncultured bacterium
Lineage: Bacteria
Description: partial 16S ribosomal RNA
Rfam family: Bacterial small subunit ribosomal RNA
Source: RNAcentral
AGUGAACGCUGGCGGUAGGCCUAACACAUGCAAGUCGAACGGCAGCACAGUAAGAGCUUGCUCUUACGGGUGGCGAGUGGCGGACGGGUGAGGAAUACAUCGGCAUCUACUUUUUCGUGGGGGAUAACGUAGGGAAACUUACGCUAAUACCGCAUACGACCUACGGGUGAAAGCAGGGGAUCUUCGGACCUUGCGCGAUUGAAUGAGCCGAUGUCGGAUUAGCGAGUUGGCGGGGUAAAGGCCCACCAAGGCGACGAUCCGUAGCUGGUGUGAGAGGAUGAACAGCCACACUGGAACUGAGACACGGUCCAGACUCCGACGGGAGGCAGCGGUGGGGAAUAUUGGACAACGGGCGCAAGCCUGAUCCAGCCAUACCGCGUGGGUGAAGAAGGCCUGCGGGUUGUAAAACCCUUUUGUUGGGAAAGAAAAGCAGCAGGUUAAUACCCCGCUGUUCUGACGGUACCCAAAGAAUAAGCACCGGCUAACUUCGUG